RNAcentral lists this ribosomal RNA (319 nucleotides) under uncultured eukaryote. RNAcentral's name for it is "partial 18S ribosomal RNA". It matches the Rfam family "Eukaryotic small subunit ribosomal RNA", at positions 1470 to 1796 of the family's 1831-position model. The record is from RNAcentral.
CCCUUAGAUGAUUUGGGCUGCACGCGCGCUACACUGACCCUAACAAUGAGCAACUGUCUGGCCUGAGAUGGGUGGGUAGCCUUUUCAACCCAUGUCAUGAUUGGGCUAGAUUUUUGUAAGUCUUGAUCUCUAACGAGGAAUCCCUAGUAUGCGUGAAUCAUCAAUCCAUGCAGAUUAUGUCCCUGCCCUUUGUACACACCGCCCGUCGCUCCUACUGAUUGGGUGAUCCGGUGAGCUGUUCGGCCAUAGCAAUGUUUCUUGAGCAGGGCAAUGAAUGUUUCGCAAACCUUGCCACUUAGAGGAAGGAGAAGUCGUAACA